UGCUCUUGACUUCAGCAUCAGUUAUAGAAUA
Molecule: non-coding RNA, 31 nt
Filed under: Rattus norvegicus (Norway rat)
Lineage: Eukaryota; Metazoa; Chordata; Mammalia; Rodentia; Muridae
Source: RNAcentral